RNAcentral lists this ribosomal RNA (400 nucleotides) under uncultured bacterium. RNAcentral describes it as "bacterial SSU rRNA". It matches the Rfam family "Bacterial small subunit ribosomal RNA", at positions 355 to 752 of the family's 1533-position model. The record is from RNAcentral.
UAAGGAAUAUUGGGCAAUGGGCGCGAGCCUGACCCAGCCAUGCCGCGUGCAGGAAGACGGCCCUAUGGGUUGUAAACUGCUUUUAUACGGGAAUAACUGUGGGUAUGUAUAUCCACUUGCAAGUACUGUAUGAAUAAGCAUCGGCUAACUCCGUGCCAGCAGCCGCGGUAAUACGGAGGAUGCGAGCGUUAUCCGGAUUUAUUGGGUUUAAAGGGUGCGCAGGCGGAUAUAUAAGUCAGUGGUGAAAGACCUGGGCUCAACCGAGGUACUGCCGUUGAUACUGUAUAUCUUGAGUGUAGUGGGCGUUGGCGGAAUGUGUCAUGUAGCGGUGAAAUGCAUAGAGAUGACACAGAACACCGAUAGCGAAGGCAGCUGACGAUACUCACACUGACGCUCAUGC